GUUUAACUUGAGUACAUCGUUCGUUCCUUAAUCGGAAAUUGUACGUGAGUGAUAAGCCUAUAUUAUGGGUCCCCCUACGGAAUUACCAGGUGGUGUUCGAGGGCAGGUUGCACAGGUCUUUUGGACCAGAUGGAUGGAUAAACAGGCCAUGACGACUUAGAUAAGAACUUUAGCAAAAGGUGGUCGGCAUUCCUACAGUCUUCAAGUAAAAUAGUCUUUCCCAAUAAAAUACAACUGUAACCAGUGUUUGGACUCCCAGCUCAGUAGCGCCUUAUUGUUUUCUCUAUUCCGGAUUUAAUUAAGGAUAAAUAUGCCACUGUUUUCACACUAACGAUACCUCUCCCCAACUUACGUUAAACUGGAUAGUUUCGGGUAUUCAGAUCCGGACGGAAUAGGUUAAGAGGAUAAGUCUCGGAGCUCCACUCGCUCUUCUUUCCUAUGAAGGUCAUACCUCGGUGGGGAUAUCUUCCAGAGCUGAGAGUAGGGAUCGCCACGCAUUAAUGGGUCAUUGCCUUACCAUCUCGUAAUAAAAUUUGACAAUUUUACAGGGUUCUUUUUACUGAAAUCCCUUACCUUACACUUACACAUAUAUUAGGAAAUUCCAGAGUCAUCACGGUAAAAUUGAAAAAUUAAUUAUCUAAACGCUUUACGUGAAUGAGCCAUGGCUGUGAUCCUCUUGAGGUUAUGGCAUAUGCUUUAAUUUAAUUACCUAUCUUUGUUUUACUUAUAUCGUGAUGCGAAACCCAUUCAUUAGUGGGAAGUACCGCGAUUUGGAUGAAAUGUAAACACUCGCUUUCGAAUUGAAGAGGUCUACCUGUCGAUUAGCUGGAACUGAUCUAUUUCUUUGCAUCUAAGAUCGAAGAAUCGCUAAGAAAACAUUAUCUCAAUUACUGGAAAUUGCAAACUUGCAGGUAACCUGUUUAUAAUCGCUUUUGUCGUUAGUUUAUCUUGUCGUUUAUCUUUACCAAUGUCAUGAGGAACUGCUCCUAAAUUUGUUAAAAUUAAUUAUCUAAGCGUCUUUACGUGAAUGGCGCCGGGCUGUAAUUCUCUUGCGGUUACCCAUGGCAUAUGUUUUAAUUUAAUUGCUUACAUUUGUUUUACCUAUAUCGGCUAUAUCGCGAUGCGAAACCCAUUAACUAAUGGGAAGUACCGGGUUUUGGAUGGAAUGCAAACACUCGCUUUCGAAGUGAAGAGGGCUACCUGUCGAUUAGCUGGAACUGGUCUAUUACAUUGUAUCUAAGAUCGAAGAAUCGCUAAGCAAACGUUAUCUCAAAUACCGGAAAUUGCAAACUUGCAGUCAUGAGGAACUGCUCCAGAUCAAGUUAUCCCGACCCCAUAAGUGAUCAGCUGUGCUGGGCACUUGCAUUUAGUUAAGUGUAACCUUGCCCAGAAUUGCUAACUUAUGUACUGUUUUAUGUAAUUAAAUAUGUUUCGCG
This is a long non-coding RNA of Photinus pyralis (common eastern firefly), 1436 nucleotides long. RefSeq lists it as uncharacterized. The record is from RefSeq and is a predicted model, not a curated record. NCBI's taxonomy places the organism in Eukaryota, Metazoa, Arthropoda, Insecta, Coleoptera, Lampyridae. The transcript is spliced from 8 exons.